RNAcentral lists this ribosomal RNA (382 nucleotides) under Actaeodes tomentosus. Its description in RNAcentral is "partial 12S ribosomal RNA". Lineage: Eukaryota; Metazoa; Arthropoda; Malacostraca; Decapoda; Xanthidae. The record is from RNAcentral.
UUAGAUACCCUAUUAUACUAAUAAAAACCUGAAUUACUAGUAGAUAUGUUCUUUAAAUUUGAAGAAUUUGGCGGUGAUUUAGUCUUGUUAGAGGAACCUGUUUUUGAAUCGAUAAACCACGUUAAAUCUUGCUUAUUUUAUUAGUUUAUAUACCGUCAUUAGCAGAUGAUUUUUGGAGGAUAAAUCAUUAAAAUUUAGGAUAGUAAUAUAAAUUAAAUUAGAUCAAGGUGUAGCUUAUAAAUAAGUUAAAAUGGGUUACAAUAAAAUGUAUUUAUAUGGAUUAAUUAUACUAAGAGAAUUAUGAAGGUGGAUUUAAUUGUAAUAUGAGUUUAACAAGCUUGUAAGAUAAAAGCUCUAAAUCAUGUACAUAUCGCCCGUCGCU